This 373-nucleotide ribosomal RNA is filed under the name uncultured organism. Its description in RNAcentral is "partial 16S ribosomal RNA". It matches the Rfam family "Bacterial small subunit ribosomal RNA", at positions 527 to 896 of the family's 1533-position model. The record is from RNAcentral.
GUAGGUGGCAAGCGUUGUCCGGAAUUAUUGGGCGUAAAGCGCGCGCAGGCGGUCCUUUAAGUCUGAUGUGAAAGCCCACGGCUCAACCGUGGAGGGUCAUUGGAAACUGGGGGACUUGAGUACAGAAGAGGAAAGCGGAAUUCCAAGUGUAGCGGUGAAAUGCGUAGAGAUUUGGAGGAACACCAGUGGCGAAGGCGGCUUUCUGGUCUGUAACUGACGCUGAGGCGCGAAAGCGUGGGGAGCAAACAGGGAUUAGAUACCCUGGUAGUCCACGCCGUAAACGAUGAGUGCUAAGUGUUAGGGGGUUUCCGCCCCCUUAGUGCUGCAGCUAACGCACUAAGCACUCCGCCUGGGGAGUACGGCCGCAAGGCUG